AGGCUCUGGGCGCUAAAGUGUUGAAUGUGGGUAUCUGACAUGCGCACUGACAAUAGGGCCUGACAGAGAAUCUUCCACAUUCAAUUGCUCUCCGUCUCGCGCGUUUCCGAACUAAAACCCAGAUGGAUUCAACCUGACGGUCGCAGCUCGAGCUGCGCUUCCACCUCUGAACCCAGAGAAGCUCCGAUCAGGUUCCAGGAGUGGAGGGAAAGUACUUAUGCUCAAAUGAGUUUUGGUGGUAAUGGGGCAAGCUUCAGUAACAAUCCACCUGGGGGGAGAAUCUUCCAUGCAUACGAUUGGCUACUGGCUCCUUUGGAGGCAUAAACUCUGGUCUCAACCAUCAUGGGAUCACACCUGCAGAAGCCUUCUCUUUGAGCUUCAACUCGAUUCUUUUUUGAAUUAGAAAAUCAGGGUGAAGCAAUGGAAGAUGUUCUGGAAAUACUAUUAGAAGCUCUCACCACUUGACCUAUUUGGAUGGGGCGGUCCAUGAAAUUUAAAGCAAGACAUGCAAGCAGCUUUUGCUAAUGGAGGACGCUCCUUGGAACCCCUGAGGUACAAGGGAUUGGAUUUCCAUAAUUUCUGGAUAUUUGUGAGUACCAUUCUGUAAGUGGAGGAUCUUGAUGUUGUUUACUUGAAAUGAGGAAUUUUCUUAUCAUUUCCACAUUGGAAUUCCAACUUCAAAUCAAACCGAUAGGAUUGGAGUUCUUAGGUAAAUGGGGUUUGUAUCUUUGUUGAAAAAAAGGUCUUUUCUUUUGCCCAUUCAAAAGAAAAGCUCUUUUUUUUCCCAUCUUUUUAAUGACUUAAUUUUCGAACAGCCACUA
Molecule: non-coding RNA, 821 nt
Organism: Cucurbita pepo subsp. pepo (vegetable marrow)
Lineage: Eukaryota; Viridiplantae; Streptophyta; Magnoliopsida; Cucurbitales; Cucurbitaceae
Source: RefSeq, a predicted model, not a curated record